AGCGCCAGAAAUGCGCGCAAGCGCACACGGGCAGCUCCGUAAGCUUCAGGCCCACGCCGCGCAGGCGCGCUCCUGUUCGCUCGGCUGCGUGGGAGCGGAAUCCGGGAGCCCAGCCUGGACUUGAGGCAGGUCGGGAAGAUGCUGGGCACCAGCACUGCCUGCAGGGACAGAAGAAAAACUCUCUGAAGGAUUGUGCGGCAGUGGCUCGGCCCCGCGAGGUCACACACUCACUGAUUUGUGAGCAAAACGGAGACCAGUGUCUACUUUACGGUAACGACCCUCCCAGCAGGCCGCACCUUGACCUUCUGGACGUGGUGUCCCACAGUUUCGUUCACAAGGCAUUGGUGGAGCGCCGUGCCACUCUGGCAGCCAAGGAGCAUAAGCCACGGCUCAAGGCCCAGAGGUAGGACCAGCGGGACCAAACUGCAGGGUGCAAGGGGCAGCAGCGAGAGGCCCAGAAGAGGAAGAGCCUGGUGGACAUGAAGAGGGCACGGGCAGAGGCGAGGCCAACAGGGACAGUGAUGCUGAGGACCCUCGACUAACUGCGAACCGAAUUCCUGAAAAUGUAAUCAUCACUUCUUAAAAGCUGAUGUGGGCUGUUUGUAUCGCACAAGCAUUAUGGGAGACAACCAUUUUAUUGUGCAAAAGGAUGUUAUUUGGAAAUUCAGAAAGGACACAGAAAUAUGGCAGUCCUAUUGCCAGACCAUACGCAGAAGAUGAAAUCUUGACCUGGAAUGACCACGGAACCAAAGAUCUGGAAGCAAAGGACCGGGACACAACCAGAACUUGAAAGUCAGGCUUUUAUCAGAAGUGAGGGGGUCCCUCAUUGGGGAAAAUCCAGUGUUAAAAUUCCUUCCCCAUCUCACCAUAAAUAUUUAGAACCCCAUCAUAAAAGUUUAGAACUUCAUCAUAAACAGUUAAAACCUUACUAUAAAUGCUUGAAGCCUGCCAGUCAAAACCUGUCCCACCAGCAUUUCUAUGUGCCA
This 986-nucleotide long non-coding RNA is filed under the name Equus asinus (donkey). RNAcentral describes it as "lncRNA (ENSEASG00005033177.1)". The record is from RNAcentral. Lineage: Eukaryota; Metazoa; Chordata; Mammalia; Perissodactyla; Equidae.